This 664-nucleotide long non-coding RNA is filed under the name Linum usitatissimum (flax). RNAcentral's name for it is "long non-coding RNA (LUSI_LNC006268)". The record is from RNAcentral. Lineage: Eukaryota; Viridiplantae; Streptophyta; Magnoliopsida; Malpighiales; Linaceae.
CUCUUCGUCAAUCCAAUGAGUGCCGAAGCCAAAACUCCUAUGAGGCUGUGAAGGAUCUCCCAUGUGCCAUGCCUGGAGCAAGCGAAGGUGAAGUUCGACGGCAAGAUUGUCGGGGCUGAAACCAUGCAAGAGAACGGAAGCCAUGAGAAGGGAGAGUCGAGAAAGGUCGGCGAAAGGGAAGAUUUUUUGGGAAGGACAAAAGGAUAUGGCGAGGAUGGUGGACAAUAGUUGGAUGAUAUGAAUCGAUGGUAGGAGAGUAGGGGAAUUAAGGGGCGGCUGAGCCGCAGGGCUUGGGGAAUCACGCACAUCAUUGCAAGGUGGUUGAAAGGAAGCAGAGAAGACAGUCGGCAGCGAUAAGAAGAAGGGCGGCUCAGCCGUAGGGGUUGGGGAAUCACGCACAUCAGUGCAAGGUGGUUGACUGGAAGCUGAAAAGACAGUCGGUAGGGAUAAGAAGAAGGUUCAGGAACGGCGAAGCGACAGAUCAGCCCGAAACAAAUUGGAAGAAUAGGAUGGAUUUGCUACUGGAGGAGGAAAAGUUGGAGAGUGAGGGAGAAAUCUAAUAAGAUGGGGAAAAGGGGUGUUUGAACGGGAUGGAUUUGGAACUGGAAGAGGAAAAGUUGGAGAGUGAGGGAGAAAUCUAAUAAGAUGAAAAAGAGGGGUGUUU